CAAGGUUUGGUUCAGCUUCAACUACCAAUAUGAAUCCAAGCUUCAUCAAUGGGUGCAAUAAUAUUACCAACAUUAACCCUCAUCAUCAACCACCAAGAAUCCCUCAUUUUAUACCAAUGUUUCAGCAAGAAUUUGCUGGCUCAGACCCUGCUGCCGCCAACAAUUCUCAUCUCAAUUCCAAUGCUUUUAUGCCGGAAUUGGUGGCGACAGCUUCUAUGGACAUGUUUGGAUCUUCAUCGUCAUCACAGACGCAGUGGCUCAUCAACAACACUAAGUUCCCGGAAGAGGCAUCGUUUAAUCUCUCCAUGUCAUCUUCGUCGUUGGCUCGGGGACUUAAGGAGGAAUUAGAAGAAUCCAAAGGAAGUUUGUCUGGAACGAUAAGUGCUUCUGCUACCUCUUUCUAUAACAACAACAAUCACCAACACCAACCCAUGUCAGCCACAGCACUUUUGCAAAAAGCAGCUCAAAUGGGAUCUACAAGAAGCAGCAACAACAACAACAACAACAACAACAACCCAGCGACAACAUUCAACGACACUGCCUUUGGUUUCAUGAGCACAUCGUCCAAUUCUUCCCACAAUAUGUCAAACCAGCUCAGUUCAUAUGGCCACCACCACAACAAAAAUGAAGUUGAGAGCUUCAAUGAUUUGGUGAAUUCCAUGUCUUCUUCAACUCCAGCAACC
This 683-nucleotide long non-coding RNA is filed under the name Prunus persica (peach). RNAcentral describes it as "long non-coding RNA (PPER_LNC005712)". Lineage: Eukaryota; Viridiplantae; Streptophyta; Magnoliopsida; Rosales; Rosaceae. The record is from RNAcentral.